GAUGAACGUUGGCGGUGUGCCUAAUACAUGCAAGUCGAACGGAGUUAAUAGCAAUAUUGACUUAGUGGCGAACGGGUGAGUAACGCGUUGGUGAUCUGCCUUGAAGUGUGGAAUAACAGAUCGAAAGAGCUGCUAAUACCGCAUAAUAUCCAGAAGAUUAGACGCUUUUGGAUUAAAGGAUUUAUUCGCUUCGGGAGGGCCUGCGUCCCAUCAGCUAGUUGGUGAGGUAACAGCUCACCAAGGCGACGACGGGUAGCCGGCCUGAGAGGGUGACCGGCCACACUGGGACUGAGACACGGCCCAGACUCCUACGGGGGGCAGCAGUGGGGAUCUGCACAAUGGGCGAAAGCCUGAUGCAGCGACGCCGCGUGA
RNAcentral lists this ribosomal RNA (372 nucleotides) under uncultured bacterium. Its description in RNAcentral is "bacterial SSU rRNA". It matches the Rfam family "Bacterial small subunit ribosomal RNA", at positions 28 to 404 of the family's 1533-position model. The record is from RNAcentral.